GACGAACGCUGGCGGCGUGCUUAACACAUGCAAGUCGAACGGAAAGGCCCUGCUUUUGUGGGGUGCUCGAGUGGCGAACGGGUGAGUAACACGUGAGUAACCUGCCCUUGACUUUGGGAUAACUUCAGGAAACUGGGGCUAAUACCGGAUAGGAGCUCCUGCUGCAUGGUGGGGGUUGGAAAGUUUCGGCGGUUGGGGAUGUACUCGCGGCUUAUCAGCUUGUUGGUGGGGUAGUGGCUUACCAAGGCUUUGACGGGUAGCCGGCCUGAGAGGGUGACCGGCCACAUUGGGACUGGGAUACGGCCCAGACUCCUACGGGAGGCAGAAGUGGGGAAUAUUGCACAAUGGGCGGAAGCCUGAUGCAGCAACGCCGCGUGCGGGAUGACGGCCUUCGGGUUGUAAACCGCUUUCGCCUGUGACGAAGCGUGAGUGACGGGAAUGGGUAAAGAAGCACCGGCUAACUACGUG
This 468-nucleotide ribosomal RNA is filed under the name uncultured bacterium. RNAcentral's name for it is "partial 16S ribosomal RNA". It matches the Rfam family "Bacterial small subunit ribosomal RNA", at positions 28 to 507 of the family's 1533-position model. The record is from RNAcentral.